Molecule: ribosomal RNA, 324 nt
Filed under: uncultured eukaryote
Lineage: Eukaryota
Description: partial 18S ribosomal RNA
Rfam family: Eukaryotic small subunit ribosomal RNA
Source: RNAcentral
CCCUUAGAUGCUCUGGGCCGCACGCGCGCUACACUGGUCGAUGCAACGAGUUUCUUUCCUUGGCCGACAGGCCUGGGCAAUCUUUGAACAUCGAUCGUGAUCGGGAUAGAUUCUUGUAAUUUUUGAUCUUAAACGAGGAAUUCCUAGUAAACGCAAGUCAUCAGCUUGCAUUGAUUACGACCCUGCCCUUUGUACACACCGCCCGUCGCACCUACCGAUUGAAUGGUCCGGUGAAAUCUCCGGACUGGCGUGAGUCGGAGCAAUCUGACAAACACCGGAAAGUUGAUUAAAUCUUACCAUUUAGAGGAAGGUGAAGUCGUAACA